GUCUACUGCCAUGCCACCCUGAACACGCCCGAUCUCGUCUGAUCUCGGAAGCUAAGCGGGGUAGGGCCUGGUUAGUACUUGGAUGGGAGACCACCUAGGAAGACUGGGUGCUGUAGGCG
This 119-nucleotide ribosomal RNA is filed under the name Pteropus alecto (black flying fox). Lineage: Eukaryota; Metazoa; Chordata; Mammalia; Chiroptera; Pteropodidae. The record is from RNAcentral.